AAUAGAUACCCAGGUAGUCCACGCCCUAAACGAUGAAUGCUAGUCGUCGGAGUACUCGUUACUUCGGUGAUGCACUUAACAGAUUAAGCAUUCCGCCUGGGGAGUACGGUCGCAAGAUUAAAACUCAAAGGAAUAGACGGGGACCCGCACAAGUGGUGGAGCAUGUGGUUUAAUUCGAAGAUACACGAAGAACCUUACCUGGCCUUGACAUGGUAGGAACCCUUAAGAGAUUAGGGGGUGCUAGCUUGCUAGAACCUACACACAGGUGCUGCACGGCUGUCGUCAGCUCGUGUCGUGAGAUGUUGGGUUAAGUCCCGCAACGAGCGCAACCCUCGUCGUUAGUUGCUAACAGUUCGGCUGAGCACUCUAACGAGACUGCCUUCGCAAGGAGGAGGAAGGUGAGGACGACGUCAAGUCAUCAUGGCCCUUACGGCCAGGGCUACACACGUGCUACAAUGGGGCGUACAAAGAGCUGCAAUACCGCGAGGUGGAGCCAAUCUCUUAAAGCGUCUCUCAGUUCGGAUUGUUCUC
This 531-nucleotide ribosomal RNA is filed under the name uncultured bacterium. RNAcentral describes it as "bacterial SSU rRNA". It matches the Rfam family "Bacterial small subunit ribosomal RNA", at positions 777 to 1305 of the family's 1533-position model. The record is from RNAcentral.